ACGCUCGACACCUACGGGAGGAAGCAGUGGGGAAUAUUGCACAAUGGGGGAAACCCUGAUGCAGCGACGCCGCGUGAAGGAAGAAGUAUCUCGGUAUGUAAACUUCUAUCAGCAGGGAAGAAAGUGACGGUACCUGACUAAGAAGCCCCGGCUAACUACGUGCCAGCAGCCGCGGUAAUCUGAGCGGGCUGGCAAGGC
RNAcentral lists this ribosomal RNA (198 nucleotides) under uncultured bacterium. Its description in RNAcentral is "partial 16S ribosomal RNA". It matches the Rfam family "Bacterial small subunit ribosomal RNA", at positions 328 to 539 of the family's 1533-position model. The record is from RNAcentral.